GGUUCCUCCAGUGCAAAGGAAGGGCAGACAUGGUCCUGUCCUCAGGGGCUAAUCAGAGUGGGCAGUGUAGGAGUCCACCAUCUCAUGACACAUCCUGUGUUCCAGUGCCCCUGACCUCACCCACCAUCUUCCCACUGAGCCUUGCAAAGGCCGAGUCAGAAGAUGAAGUGAUUGUCGGCUGCCUGAUUCGGGAUUUCUUCCCCUCCGGACCUGUGAAUGUGACCUGGAGCAAGAGUGGGGAUCCUGUGGUCCUCAGAAACUUCCCGCCUGUCCUGGCCACAGAGGGCCUGUACAUCAUGAGCAGCCAACUGACCCUGCCUGCUGACCAGUGCCCAGAUGACAUGUCCCUGACAUGCUACGUGCAGCAUGACUCUAGCCCCACCCAGGAUGUGGCUGUACCUUGCAAAGAUCCAAAAGACUGUCUAAAUGACACAAAUUGCCAACCCAGCCUGUCACUGCAACGGCCAGACCUCGAAGACCUGCUCCUGCGCCCAGAUGAUGCCAGCCUCACAUGCACACUGAGUGGCCUGAAGAACCCUAGAGGAGCCACCUUCAACUGGCAGCCCUUGGGAGGGAAGGACCGCAAACCGAAGAGACCUAAGCGUGACUCCUGUGGCUGUUAUAGUGUGUCCAGUGUCCUGCCCGGUUGCGCUGAGCUCUGGAAAAGAGGGGAGACCUUCACGUGCACAGUCAGCCACCCUGAGCUAGAGGAGCCAAAAACUGCCACCAUUGCCAAGGCCACAGAGAACACCUUCCGGCCUCAGGUCCACCUGCUGCCGCCGCCACCGGAGGAGCUGCCCCUGAAUGAGCUGGUGUCGCUGACAUGCCUGGUACGGGGAUUCAACCCUCCAGAGGUGCUGGUGCGCUGGCUGCAGGGGACCGAGAAGGUGCCCCCCAACGACUAUGUGGUGUGGGGACCCCUGAGGGAGCCAAAUGAGGGCGCCAUCACCUACGUGGCAACCAGCAUACUGCGUGUGAAGACCGCAGACUGGAAGAAGGGUGAAAACUUCUCCUGCAUAGUGAUCCACGAGACCCUGCCCACUGGCUUAAUCCAGAAAACCAUUGACCGCCAUUCGGAAUGUCAAGAGAUGCUGCCCUGGGUGGUGCUGGACCAGCCACAAGAGAGCCUGGAGGAGGAGGCCCCUGGUGCCAGCCUGUGGCCCACCACCAUCACUUUCCUCACCCUCUUACUGCUGAGCCUGUUCUACAGCACAGCACUCACUGUGACAACUGUGAGAGGCCCAACUGGCAGCAAAGGGGACCCCCAGUACUGAGUAGAAGCCUACGAGGCACAGGGAGGAAGACUGGAGGAGCCUCUCUCCAUGUCAGAGCUGAGCCCUGUGUGACGACCACCUCACCCCACUCACAUGCCUUCCUGUGAAAUAAAUUUCUUCCAGAAGCAUACUUUCUCAGACUCUCAGAGGCAAAUGUUCUCAGAUGGGGGGAGGGAUUGAAGGGAGAGGAUAGUGACACCAUAGUGGAGCAUGCCUACAUCACAGAACAUCUGGGUGUCCCUUGUCUCGUGUCCAAGAUAUGACCUGGUCCUGCAGAGGGUUAAGGGCCAAAAUUGAAUUCUGGCUUCACCAAGAGAGGAUAUCCAGGAAAACUCUUCCUCAGAGCAGUGGCCAGCUCCCAAAACCUGAUCACUGAGCCCUAUCCUUGUCACUGGACACUGACUCUGAGGAUGGCUCCUGAAUACUAAGCCCUAGUCCUGAGCCUGGGACCUAAGCACUGAAGCUGGAUCCUGAUCACUAAGCCCUGGUUCUUAUCACAAAU
Castor canadensis (American beaver) is the source of this 1776-nucleotide non-coding RNA. The record is from the annotation of a RefSeq genome assembly. NCBI's taxonomy places the organism in Eukaryota, Metazoa, Chordata, Mammalia, Rodentia, Castoridae.